UUCCUCUGUAAUAUCUGUACCACGCAUGUCUUGAAACAGUUGACGGCCAAGAAGCGGCACAUUUGACGAGACCAACUUCGCAGAAAAAUAUAUUUUGACUACACCCGACGAAUUAUGUUCACAGAUUGUGCAGGUUGAUGCCACUAAAGACCACGAUUAACUUCACCAAAGGACAUGGAAAUAUGUGCGUUCAAACCACCAGAAGGUGCAGUGCAACCAAGUCCACCAAGCCCCCCCAGGACACACAAAUCACUCAACAACAUAGAAUGACAAAAUGCCACCCCAAAUUGUCAGAUGGCACAGUUCAUGUCAAAAGCCCAAGGACUCAGAACAUGAAGCCAAAGAAGUAGAUGAUGACUCGGCCCAGUGACACCAAAUGGAAAAGCCCAUUGCAGUAGUCAACCCUACUGGAGAUGAAUGCAUCAAUAAGUUAUCUAAAUCAUGUUUUGACAUUAGACAUCUAAGUUUGGCCAUGUUUUUGAGGCUUAUGACUCUGCCACUGCACAUGGUUUGUAGAGAGAGGCACGCACACUCUAUUAUGUCAGAUAAAAAUGUUUGCAUGGCUCUGAUUGGAAAUUGCCAGAAGGGAUAGGUCAAGCAGGAGCAGUGUGAAAGGCGUCCUAAUUGCUUGAGUGGGAGGGGAAACCUCUAGUGGCCACCUUACAACAAACAAGUUUGUCAAGAUUUGGGAAAGAUUCUUAAAAGAUUGUAGUAUUUUAACUAAUGCCCCCCAUUCAAGCUUUACUCAAAAGACUCCAAUCUUUAAAGAAUCUUUUCUCAAAUCUUGUCAAAGUUGUUUGGUGUAAGGAGGCCAUUAGUCUAAUAGCCAUGCACCAAACCACCAAAGUACUCAUGACUGUCAGGUAGGGUGACAGUAUUUUAACACUAUUUCAAAAAAUGUCCAGUGAUGACAUAUUAACAGCAAAAACCUUUUAUAGACUAUUUCUUUGUACAGUGUACUCAUGCAAUGGGCAGCAAUCGUGAGAUGUUUGCUUAAUGUUAUAGUUGUGAAAACAUUAGAAAAUGUUAUGGGCUUGAAAUUGCAUACAAUACCUGAUGUAUUUUUUCAUGUUACAUGAAUUAAAAUGAAGUGUUAUUUAUAUAAGAUCAUACUUAUGUGCCUAUAAAAUUAUAUUAACGGUCAUUGAGUCCAUGUUCUUGUCUCAACACAGCAAGUUAGUUUACUUGUUGCCCCCCCCCCUCUCCUCCUAUAGGGCUCAUUCUCUCAAUGCAUUUAUUCAUGGUUGUAAUAGGCAGCAUUCAUUUAAAUGUAGGUGACCAUACUCAUCUUUGCAAGUUUACACAGGCAAAUACAUAGGCUAGCAAGUUCACAGUAAAGGAAUGAGUCAUUUGAUGAUCAUUCCAUGUGUGAAUUUGAAUGUGUGCUCUCGUUUUGA
Long non-coding RNA from Alosa alosa (allis shad), 1397 nucleotides. RefSeq lists it as uncharacterized. Lineage: Eukaryota; Metazoa; Chordata; Actinopteri; Clupeiformes; Clupeidae. The transcript has 4 exons. The record is from RefSeq and is a predicted model, not a curated record.